GGGAGCACGGAGCAGGAUCUUGGUGGUCGUCCAAACCCAGGCGCAGGCCGGGGGCUGGCCGGGGGAAACACUCUCUCAGGUGUGGCGCCCGGGGUGACCUUGGGCUGGGACAGGCAGGGUGUGGAGCCUGGGAACAAGAACCGAGCCAGUUCCACCCAAAUCCCACUGGCAAAUACUCACUGGAUGCAAGUUUUCCGUCACCGCCUGGUGGUUUAUAGAGGAUCACUCUCCUCAAACCUUCCAAUAUUGUGCGAUCUUCUUACACCCCCCCCAUUAUAUAUGAAUCAUAUAUAUAAUCAUUAUAUAGAAAUCACAGGGGGGGGCGUUCUUCUUUGCCUUCCGCUUUUGGAGAUUUUUUUGGGGGGGGGUCUAUUUUUCAAGCUUUUAUGAUUAUUAAGGACCUUACUAUGUAGUGCCAUAACCCCCUUCAGGCUAGGGACUAUACAGACACAGAACAAAAUCGCAGCCUCCUGCCACGAGUAACAGGCUGAAAGAGGGGUGAGAUGAAUGUGAGAUGUACCCGAGGUGCAGAGCAGGGACGAACCAGGUGACGCCAAAAGCAGCCAGCCCCAAGCCCAAAUCUGGUUCAGAAAGAGGGUGACGUGUGGAUGCACCUGAGAUCCAGCUGGCGGCGAGUGGCCUCUGCCUUCCCCAAACCGCGUCGCGGGACUGGGGCCGAGGGAGAAGCUUUUUAUAAGCUGGAGGAGCGCCACAGAGAGCAAUUGCUGAGACAACAAGAACUGGAGACAAGCGAGAAUUAGCCGAGUGGAUGAUCUCAUCACCUGAGCCUUCCCGGCCCUACUGGAGGCAUCAGACACCCUCCCCAGAGGGAGGAACUCUCCUUUGCUUCCUUCCAUGUUAUUUCAGAAACAAUCUGAAUUCUUGGGACCCGAGUCCCAUUUACACCACGGGCGUGUCAUCCUGGCGGUGGGUGGAUUUUUCUCUGUGCCCAAGGAGAACGGCUCGAACAUCAGCUGAACUGUCUAGAAUUCCCAUGCCUCUGGGCACUACUUUAUCAUUAUGUGUUGCCCUGAUAACCCCCAGUCACAGGCCUGGGCGCUGUGGUGCUAGGCGCUGUAUAAAACAGAACAAACCCAUGAUCCUUUGGCCAGAGAGCUUCCAAUCUGAGUAUAAGAUGAAAGUACAAGGGCUGCUGUUUGUUCUCCCCCAGGGGGCCAUGGGCCAUGCAAAAAGCCAAUGCCAGCACCGGCGUUGUUCACAUUCAGAAGCCCUGCUGCUUCAAGGAUGACUUUUCUAAGGGGCUCUGCUAAUGAGAUACAGUCAGGGCAGGCAAGGAAGCUGUAUUUUAUAGUGUGGUGGCAGCCAGCUCAGGGCCCCUUCGUGCUGGGAGCUGCGCAGACUCAAACCCAAACGAGUUUGCAGCCUCUUGGUCCCCUUUCCCAGGUGGGAAUACUGAGGCCGAGGGAAGUGACUUGCCAGAGGGGCACAGAGGAAAUCAGCAACAGUGCUAGAAACAGGAGGGGGAUCUCCAGAGGCACCAGGCCAGGAUCUCUCCCACAUGCCCACCCCUCCACCUCGUUACAUUGGCUUGGAUGGAAAAACUUGAUAACUCUGCCCUGUAGAAAAGCAAACCAGGAGGGACUUUUUCCUCGAGAGAUGGAGGGUGUGGGUCUGGGUUGGGGGGUGGGGUAGUCCCCUGUCUUACUCCAAAUCCAAGAGAGCGAUUUUUUCUUUCUCUCAAGAUAUGCUCCCCUCCCCCAUCCCCUCACUUUGUAAUCUUGACACUGUCCCUUUAAGAAUCCCCCAACCCGUUCUCCCACAGGCAGGCCCCCAGCUCCUUGGCUUCCAGCCUGCCCUAGGACUAUUCUGUUCCCAGCCACUAGGAGGCGCUAUUGCUUCACUAGAGAUCACAACAGCUCCCCCUCCCCCUCUUUCCCCACCUGGUCUGGAGGAAAAACUCCUCUCAGGGUCUGUCUACAUUGCACAGGGCCCUGGCUCCGGUUUGACCUGAAGCCCUGUUUCGGUCCACACACAAGUCAGGAUGAGUCUGGUCAGCGAGCACACAGGGGACCCUGCUAGCAGGGGAGGGUGAGAGCCGGAGUCCCCUGGCAGCCCUGUCCUUUUGCAGAGCAGAGUUGCAGUGCGGACGGACACUCGCCCACAGGGUUGGAGACACGGAGCCGACAGGCCCGGCGCCGUCAGUGCUGGGUUCGAGGUGCCGUGUAGCUGCUCCCUGUGGGCAUGUCUACACAGCAGCGUUCUUUCGGAAUAACCGAUGUUAUUCUGAAGGGCGCGUCUACACAGCAAGCCGCUUCUUUCAAAAUAAAUUCGAAAGAACGGGUGUCUUACUCCGACUCCUAUAAACCUCAGUGUGCGAGGCAGAAGGGGAGUCAGAGGUGGGAUGGGGAAGAGGGCUCUAUUUCGAAAUGAGUGCUGUGUAGAUGU
Non-coding RNA from Pelodiscus sinensis (Chinese soft-shelled turtle), 2406 nucleotides. The record is from RefSeq and is a predicted model, not a curated record. Lineage: Eukaryota; Metazoa; Chordata; Testudines; Trionychidae.